GUCCCUGUGCCGCUGGGUGCUGGCUGUGUACGACUGCUGUCGGUCUCAGCAGCACACGGAGCGGGGCCGCAGGCUGGAAGUCCAGGCGGCAGGGGCCCGACAGCGCCUCCAUCAGGCCAAGAGGCAGAAGGAGGACGCACUGAACCGUCUGAAAAAACUACGGCUGCAACUGCGCUCACUACAGGAGCAGCUGGACAAACAGAAGGCCGAGCUCCAGCGAGCAGAACACUGUCACCGACAGGCGGCCUGCACUCUGGCCGAGCUCGGACACUACACUUCAGUGUGGAAGGAGCACACACAGAAGGCCGCCCUGAUGUUGGAGGCCCUCCCCAAAGACGCCCUCCUCACAGCCGCCACCCUCUCCUAUUUGGGCCCGUUUGGAGCAGGUACCCGCUCUGAACUUGUGAUCAAGUGGUUCAGUGGUGGACCUGUGUCGACCCCCCUCCAGAACACUCUGGCCUGGGUGCUGGGUGUGGGUGAGAGGAGGCUCCGGGGGGUGGCCCUCUCCAGCCUGCUGCUGUCUCUGCUGCUCUGGGACUGCACCCGUGACCCUCAGGAACUAUGCCCCCUGCUGGUGGAUCCCCACCAUCGCUUAGACACCAACCCGACCUGCUGCUUCAUAGGAGAACAGACCCAGGCUCUGCUGGAGUUUGAGGUGCAGCUCACUGCAGAUGAUCCUGACCUUCUGGAGCGGCUGGAGCAGGCCAAGGUCACAGGGGCCCGAGUGCUGGUGCGAGAUGCAGAGAGGGCCCCGUCCUGCCCCCGGCUCCUGUCCCUGCUGUCCACACCGUCCCACAGGUGUCCCCCAGCCUCUGCCCGGUCUUCUACACCAUUGUCCCCGCACACCGACUGACUGCAGAGCUGCCGGGGCCCCUCCUGCGUCGGCUGCGUGUGGUGGACC
This 901-nucleotide long non-coding RNA is filed under the name Neogobius melanostomus (round goby). RNAcentral's name for it is "lncRNA (ENSNMLG00000011029.1)". Lineage: Eukaryota; Metazoa; Chordata; Actinopteri; Gobiiformes; Gobiidae. The record is from RNAcentral.